AACGAACGCUGGCGGCAUGCCUAACACAUGCAAGUCGAACGAGAUCUUCGGGUCUAGUGGCGCACGGGUGCGUAACGCGUGGGAAUCUGCCCUUUGGUUCGGAAUAACUCAAGGAAACUUGAGCUAAUACCGGAUAAUGACUUCGGUCCAAAGAUUUAUCGCCUGAGGAUGAGCCCGCGUCGGAUUAGCUAGUUGGUGAGGUAAAGGCUCACCAAGGCGACGAUCCGUAGCUGGUCUGAGAGGAUGAUCAGCCACACUGGGACUGAGACACGGCCCAGGCUCCUACGGGAGGCAGCAGUGGGGAAUAUUGGACAAUGGGCGAAAGCCUGAUCCAGCAAUGCCGCGUGAGUGAUGAAGGCCUUAGGGUUGUAAAGCUCUUUUACCCGGGAUGAUAAUGACAGUACCGGGAGAAUAAGCCCCGGCUAACUCCGUGCCAGCCGCCGCCGUAA
Molecule: ribosomal RNA, 449 nt
Filed under: uncultured bacterium
Lineage: Bacteria
Description: partial 16S ribosomal RNA
Rfam family: Bacterial small subunit ribosomal RNA
Source: RNAcentral